RNAcentral lists this ribosomal RNA (255 nucleotides) under Ashmunella organensis. RNAcentral describes it as "partial 16S ribosomal RNA". The record is from RNAcentral. Lineage: Eukaryota; Metazoa; Mollusca; Gastropoda; Stylommatophora; Polygyridae.
GACUGUGCAAAGGUAGCAUAAUCAAUUGGCUCAUAAUUGGAGUCUAGAAUGAAGGAAAAAAUAAGAAAUAACUGUUUCUAAGUAAUUAUUAGAAAUUAAUUAUAAAGUGCAAAUGCUUUUAAAUAAAAAUUAGACGAGAAGACCCUAGAAAUUUUUUGUUGGGUUUAUGAGCAUUUUGUUGGGGCGACAAAGUAACAGGUUAAUAACUUACUUAUUUUAUUUGGAGUAAUUGUACAGAAGAAAAAAAUUACUCUG